This 409-nucleotide ribosomal RNA is filed under the name Corynebacterium tuberculostearicum. RNAcentral's name for it is "bacterial SSU rRNA". It matches the Rfam family "Bacterial small subunit ribosomal RNA", at positions 44 to 455 of the family's 1533-position model. The record is from RNAcentral. Lineage: Bacteria; Bacillati; Actinomycetota; Actinomycetes; Mycobacteriales; Corynebacteriaceae.
GUGCUUAACACAUGCAAGUCGAACGGAAAGGCCCUGCUUGCAGGGUACUCGAGUGGCGAACGGGUGAGUAACACGUGGGUGAUCUGCCCUGCACUUCGGGAUAAGCCUGGGAAACUGGGUCUAAUACCGGAUAGGAGCCAUUUUUAGUGUGAUGGUUGGAAAGUUUUUUCGGUGUAGGAUGAGCUCGCGGCCUAUCAGCUUGUUGGUGGGGUAAUGGCCUACCAAGGCGGCGACGGGUAGCCGGCCUGAGAGGGUGGACGGCCACAUUGGGACUGAGAUACGGCCCAGACUCCUACGGGAGGCAGCAGUGGGGAAUAUUGCACAAUGGGCGCAAGCCUGAUGCAGCGACGCCGCGUGGGGGAUGACGGCCUUCGGGUUGUAAACUCCUUUCGCUAGGGACGAAGCUUUU